RNAcentral lists this ribosomal RNA (408 nucleotides) under uncultured bacterium. RNAcentral's name for it is "partial 16S ribosomal RNA". It matches the Rfam family "Bacterial small subunit ribosomal RNA", at positions 355 to 755 of the family's 1533-position model. The record is from RNAcentral.
UGGGGAAUAUUGCACAAUGGGCGCAAGCCUGAUGCAGCCAUGCCGCGUGUGUGAAGAAGGCCUUCGGGUUGUAAAGCACUUUCAGCGAGGAGGAAGGUGGUGAGCUUAAUACGCUCAUCAAUUGACGUUACUCGCAGAAGAAGCACCGGCUAACUCCGUGCCAGCAGCCGCGGUAAUACGGAGGGUGCAAGCGUUAAUCGGAAUUACUGGGCGUAAAGCGCACGCAGGCGGUUUGUUAAGUCAGAUGUGAAAUCCCCGGGCUCAACCUGGGAACUGCAUUUGAAACUGGUAAGCUAGAGUCUCGUAGAGGGGGGUAGAAUUCCAGGUGUAGCGGUGAAAUGCGUAGAGAUCUGGAGGAAUACCGGUGGCGAAGGCGGCCCCCUGGANGAAGACUGACGCUCAGGUGCG